RNAcentral lists this ribosomal RNA (791 nucleotides) under uncultured archaeon. RNAcentral describes it as "bacterial SSU rRNA". It matches the Rfam family "Archaeal small subunit ribosomal RNA", at positions 85 to 879 of the family's 1478-position model. The record is from RNAcentral.
ACUGCUCAGUAACACGUAGUCAACAUGCCCAGGGGACGUGGAUAACCUCGGGAAACUGAGUAUAAACCGCGAUGGGUCAUGAUUUCUGGAAUGAAUUAUGGCUGAAAUCUAUAUGGCCCCUGGAUUGGACUGCGACCGAUCAGGCUGUUGGUGAGGUAAUGGCCCACCAAACCUGUUACCGGUACGGGCUCUGAGAGGAGGAGCCCGGAGAUGGGCACUGAGACAAGGGCCCAGGCCCUAUGGGGCGCAGCAGGCGCGAAAUCUCUGCAAUAGGCGAAAGCUUGACAGGGUUACUCUGAGUGAUUUCCGCUAAGGAGAUCUUUUGGCACCUCUAAAAAUGGUGCAGAAUAAGGGGUGGGCAAGUCUGGUGUCAGCCGCCGCGGUAAUACCAGCACCCCGAGUGGUCGGGACGAUUAUUGGGCCUAAAGCAUCCGUAGCCGGCCCUGCAAGUCUUCCGUUAAAUCCAUCCGCUCAACGGAUGGGCCGCGGGAGAUACUACAGGGCUAGGAGGCGGGAGAGGCAAGCGGUACUCAGUGGGUAGGGGUAAAAUCCUCUGAUCCACUGAAGACCACCAGUGGCGAAGGCGGCUUGCCAGAACGCGCUCGACGGUGAGGGAUGAAAGCUGGGGGAGCAAACCGGAUUAGAUACCCGGGUAGUCCCAGCUGUAAACGAUGCAGACUCGGUGAUGGGCUGGCCUAGUGCUAGCCCAGUGCCGCAGGGAAGCCGUUAAGUCUGGCGCCUGGGGAGUACGGUCGCAAGACUGAAACUUAAAGGAAUUGGCGGGGGAGCAC